CCUACGGGAGGCAGCAGUAGGGAAUCUUCCGCAAUGGACGAAAGUCUGACGGAGCAACGCCGCGUGAACGAUGAAGGCCUUCGGGUCGUAAAGUUCUGUUGUCAGGGAAGAACAAGUACCGGAGUAACUGCCGGUACCUUGACGGUACCUGACCAGAAAGCCACGGCUAACUACGUGCCAGCAGCCGCGGUAAUACGUAGGUGGCAAGCGUUGUCCGGAAUUAUUGGGCGUAAAGCGCGCGCAGGCGGUUCCUUAAGUCUGAUGUGAAAGCCUCCGGCUCAACCGGGGAGGGUCAUUGGAAACUGGGGAACUUGAGUGCAGAAGAGGAGAGCGGAAUUCCACGUGUAGCGGUGAAAUGCGUAGAGAUUUGGAGGAACACCAGUGGCGAAGGCGACUAUCUGGUCUGUAACUGACACUGAGGCGCGAAAGCGUGGGGAGCAAACAGGAUUAGAUACCCUGGUAGUCCACGCCGUAAACGAUGAGUGCUAAGUGUUAGGGGGUUUCCGCCCCUUAGUGCUGCAGCUAACGCAUUAAGCACUCCGCCUGGGGAGUACGGUCGCAAGACUGAAACUCAAAGGAAUUGACGG
Molecule: ribosomal RNA, 587 nt
Filed under: uncultured bacterium
Lineage: Bacteria
Description: bacterial SSU rRNA
Rfam family: Bacterial small subunit ribosomal RNA
Source: RNAcentral